GGCUACACACGUGCUACAAUGGGUAGUACAGAGAGUCGCAAAGCCGUGAGGUGGAGCUAAUCUCAGAAAACUAUUCUUAGUUCGGAUUGUACUCUGCAACUCGAGUACAUGAAGUUGGAAUCGCUAGUAAUCGCGAAUCAGCAAUGUCGCGGUGAAUACGUUCUCGGGUCUUGUACACACCGCCCGUCACGCCACGAGAGUUGGUUGCACCUGAAGUAGCAGGCCUAACCGUAAGGAGGGAUGCUCCGAGGGUGUGAUUAGCGAUUGGGGUGAAGUCGUAACAAGGUAUCCGUACGGGAACGU
RNAcentral lists this ribosomal RNA (303 nucleotides) under uncultured Fusobacterium sp. Its description in RNAcentral is "bacterial SSU rRNA". It matches the Rfam family "Bacterial small subunit ribosomal RNA", at positions 1212 to 1513 of the family's 1533-position model. Lineage: Bacteria; Fusobacteriati; Fusobacteriota; Fusobacteriia; Fusobacteriales; Fusobacteriaceae. The record is from RNAcentral.